UGAAUACGAGACGCUAAGGCGUCGAAGUAGUGUAUGUCAUACUUCCAAGAAAAGCUUGCACUGUCAUAGAUAAAAAACGCCUGUACCAUAACCGACACAGGUGGGUAGGUAGAGUAUACUAAGGGGCGCGAGAUAACUCUCUCUAAGGAACUCGGCAAAAUAACUCCGUAACUUCGGGAGAAGGAGUGCCUUAUUCGUAAGGUUGCAAUAACAAGAUCCAAGCAACUGUUUAUCAAAAACACAGGUCUCCGCUAAGUCGUAAGACGAUGUAUGGGGGCUGACGCCUGCCCAGUGCCAGAAGGUUAAAGAAGUUGGUUAGCAAUUGCGAAGCUGAUAACUGAAGCCCUGGUGAACGGCGGCCGUAACUAUAACGGUCCUAAGGUAGCGAAAUUCCUUGUCGGGUAAGUUCCGACCCGCACGAAAGGCGUAAUGAUUUGGAUACUGUCUCGGAGAGGGGCUCGGUGAAAUAGACUUGUCUGUGAAGAUGCGGACUACCUGCACCAGGACAGAAAGACCCUAUGAAGCUUUACUGUAACUUGAAAUUGAAAUUGGACUUUAUUCGCGCAGCAUAGGUGGGAGGCGUUGAUUAUAAUCUUGCGGGAUUAUUGGAGCCAUCAGUGAGAUACCACUCUUGUAAUGUUAGAUUUCUAACUUUGAAUCAUUAUCUGGUCAAAGAACAGUUUCAGGCGGGCAGUUUGACUGGGGCGGUCGCCUCCUAAACGGUAACGGAGGCGUACAAAGGUUUCCUCUGAACGGUUAGAAAUCGUAUCUAGAGUGUAAAGGCAUAAGGAAGCUUGACUGUGAGACCUACAAGUCGAGCAGGGACGAAAGUCGGUCUUAGUGAUCUGACGGUACUGAGUGGAAAGGCCGUCACUCAACGGAUAAAAGUUACUCUAGGAUAACAGGCUGAUCUCCCCCAAGAGUUCACAUCGACGGGGAGGUUUGGCACCUCGAUGUCGGCUCAUCGCAUCCUGGGGCGGUAGUACGUCCCAAGGGUUGGGCUGUUCGCCCAUGAAAGCGUACGCGAGCUGGGUUCAGAACGUCGUGAGACAGUUCGGUCCAUAUCCGGUGUAGGCGUUAGAAUAUUGAGAGGAGCCUUCUUUAGUACGAGAGGACCGAGAAGGACAUACCUCUGGUGUACCAGUUAUCGUGCCAACGGUAAACGCUGGGUAGCUAUGUAUGGAAUGGAUAACCGCUGAAAGCAUCUAAGUGGGAAGCCCACCUCAAGAUAAGUAUUCUCA
RNAcentral lists this ribosomal RNA (1241 nucleotides) under metagenome. Its description in RNAcentral is "bacterial LSU rRNA". It matches the Rfam family "Bacterial large subunit ribosomal RNA", at positions 1564 to 2816 of the family's 2925-position model. The record is from RNAcentral.